GCUGGAGUAAUAGUACAACAGGUAGGGCGUUUGCCUUCCAUGCAGGCGACCUGGGUUCGACCCCCAGCAUCUCAUAUAGUCCCGAGCACCGCCGGGAAUAAUUCCUCAGUGCAGAGCCAGAAGUAACCCCUGUGCAUCUCCAGGUGUGGCCCAAAAAGCAAAAGAAGAAGUAGAAGAGCAACAAGAGCCUGAUGGAGGUGUGUGGUGAAGCACAGGGGCAUCCUCCCAAGAGGAAUUAAUUAUCUAACAAAAAAAUAAUAAAUAAAAAGUGCUCAGCGUAAAGAUAUUUGAUGUGUCGUCUUUGGAAGAUGAUUAAAUCUUGAGGAUAGAACCUCACAAAUGGAAUUAGAAUCCUUAAAAAAGGGAACCCACUGAGCUCUCUUGCCCUUCAUCAUGUGAGAAGAGAAUGCAGAAGAGAAUCAUCAAUGAAGUAAGAAUGUUGGUCAGUCACACUCCACUGAGCUCUCUGCCUCGGAGCAGGGGGUCAGCGCCGUGGAUUCCUGAAUGAUCUACGAAGUCCUCGUUGCUCCACUGUCUUCAAUACCAGUUUUUCUACUCCUGGAGGCAUGCCUGCUCCCAGAGGUAAAGGAGAAAGAUCAAGGAAGGAUGCUCUGAGUCAUCACCCUGCGGGAAAUUCUGCGACUCUCCUUCACGCCAAUCGACAAUGCUGACUUGAGAUUUCGGGAGCCAGUCACCAAGAACCCUCACAGGGGUGAGUCCCCAGGAUGAGUGAGGGGACCCUGAAUAUGUUCUCUUUACUGCCAAACUGACCAAGAAUGCUGGUCCUGUAACAGUUUUCUUUUUGGGUCAUGCCCAGUGAUGCACAGGGGUGACUCCUGGCUCAUGCACUCAGGAAUUACUCCUGCCAGUGCUCAGGGGACCAUACGGGA
Long non-coding RNA from Sorex araneus (European shrew), 890 nucleotides. RefSeq lists it as uncharacterized. NCBI's taxonomy places the organism in Eukaryota, Metazoa, Chordata, Mammalia, Eulipotyphla, Soricidae. The record is from RefSeq and is a predicted model, not a curated record. The transcript is spliced from 3 exons.